CGGAUGGGAGCCGAAACGUCUUGAUUCUGAAAACAGCGUCCAGAUGACUACGACUGAAACCUUUUCUACGUCAUCUAACUAUAUUAACAUUAAUGUAAUUGUGCAAAUUUCAGGAGAAAGGAGAGCAGAGUGAGCGGCAGAUUAGACGAAUCUGAUGGAGGGAAAGAAAAGGACGCACGACCCCGAUGCCUGCUGCGAAUCCAGAUGGACGUCUCGAUUCCCAGCGCUUGUGCAGCUCUAGACACGCAGUCGUAGCAGAGACUGGAGCUACUACCGGGGACAGACAUAACAACUGACGCUGGAGGGACACAAAAUGACUCCUCAAACCAACAAGAGGGGGGCAUCAGAGUCCGGAGGUCCGGCUUACGGCUCAUGCUCAUUGGAGGAGGACUCUUAUCCUGCAUGUUUUUGGAAACGCCUCCGGGGGACAGCAGCCCGGGGGAGGUGCAGUGGUUGCUGUAGCUGCCGUUUCCUGGUGAGAAACACAGGUGGAGGUUUGUUUAAAUGUAGUUUUCAUUAUAACGCACCACAGAUUUACCUCUGGACCUCAGUGAAGAGAGCCGAUCCAGCUGUCAGCGUUUCUAAACUAUUUAUUUUGUUGGAAUAUUAGUAUGCAUUGCGAUCAACAGUGUUAUCUGUUUUAGGGUUUUAUUUUAUCCAUUUAUCUAUUUUUUGUAAAAAGCUAUCAUAUAUAUUGCUGUUAUUUUAUCAAUCUUAUAUCCUUUUCGUUCUUUUGUGUCUUGUGUUGAUUAUUUUGUCUUCAUAUUAUAAGUUUCAUGUUUUGUAUUGCUGCUUUCAUUAUCCAUUAAUUGUUGAUUAUUUUCUCGAUUAAUCGUUUGGUCUAUAAAAUGUCAGACGACGUCUUCAAAUUACUUGUGUUACUACGGCUCGAAAGAUGUUCAGUUUGCUAUCAAAACCAAAGAAAAUCAGCAAAAUCCUCACAACUGAGAAGCUCAGACAAGGAAAAGUUUGGCGUCUUUGCUAAAUGAUUAAUCGCUUAUCAAAAUAGUUGCAGAUGAAUCAUUUUGGCUCUACUGAUUUAAUCUGAAUUUAAUCCGUUCUUACUGGUUAACAAAGCUGGUCAAGGACGUUUAUAGUGAAAGAAUCAUCAGUAAGGCUCAACUGACUCUUUACUGUCCUGACGAGCCACUGAAAAGCUAAAUCCUACAGUGAGGUAAUACAGAGACCUGCACUUUGUUUGGCGUCGGUCUUAAUCUUCCGUUUUAUUUAUUUUUUUAAAAACAAUUGUUCCCAUCUUUGGCUUGAACUGCUGCUGUUUU
Molecule: long non-coding RNA, 1280 nt
Organism: Siniperca chuatsi (mandarin fish)
Lineage: Eukaryota; Metazoa; Chordata; Actinopteri; Centrarchiformes; Sinipercidae
Exons: 3
Source: RefSeq, a predicted model, not a curated record